RNAcentral lists this ribosomal RNA (440 nucleotides) under uncultured bacterium. RNAcentral describes it as "partial 16S ribosomal RNA". It matches the Rfam family "Bacterial small subunit ribosomal RNA", at positions 338 to 795 of the family's 1533-position model. The record is from RNAcentral.
CCUACGGGUGGCAGCAGUGGGGAAUAUUGCACAAUGGGGGAAACCCUGAAGCAGCGACGCCGCGUGAGUGACGAAGUCUUUCGGUAUGUAAAGCUCUAUCAUCAGGGAAGAAAAUUACGGUACCUGACUAAUAAGCCCCGGCUAACUCCGUACCAGCAGCCGCGGUAAUACGUAGGGGGCAAGGGUUAUCCGGAUUUACUGGGUGUAAACGGAGCGUAGCCGGGGGGGAAGGUCUGAAGUGAAAGGCAGGGGCCUAAGCCCGGAACUGCUUUGGAAACUGCCAUGUUUGAGUGCGGGAGAGGUAGGUGGAAUGCGUGGUGUAGCGGUGAAAUGCGUAGAUAUCAGGAGGAACACCAGUGGCGAAGGCGGCUUACUGGACAGUAACUGACGUUGAGGCUCGAAAGCGUGGGGAGCAAACAGGAUUAGAUACCCGGGUAGUC